CCUACGGGAGGCAGCAGUGAGGAAUCUUGGACAAUGGGCGCGAGCCUGAACCAGCCAAGUAGCGUGAAGGAUGACUGCCCUCCGGGUGUUAAACUUCUUUUAUAAAGGAAUAAGGUGAAGCACGUAUGCCUUUUUGUAUGUACUUUAUGAAUAAGGAUCGGCUAACUCCGUGCCAGCAGCCGCGGUAAUACGGAGGAUCCGAGCGUUAUCCGGAUUUAUUGGGUUUAAAGGGAGCGUAGAUGGGUUGAUAAGUCAGUUGUGAAAGUGUGCGGCUCAACCGUAAAAUUGCAAUUGAUACUGGCGGUCUUGAGUACAGUUGAGGUAGGCGGAAUUCGUGGUGUAGCGGUGAAAUGCUUAGAUAUCAGGAAGAACGCCGAUUGCGAAGGCAGCUUACUAAACUGCCACUGACAUUGAUGCUCGAAAGUGUGGGUAUCAAACAGGAUUAGAUACCCGAGUAGUC
RNAcentral lists this ribosomal RNA (460 nucleotides) under uncultured bacterium. Its description in RNAcentral is "partial 16S ribosomal RNA". It matches the Rfam family "Bacterial small subunit ribosomal RNA", at positions 338 to 795 of the family's 1533-position model. The record is from RNAcentral.